This is a non-coding RNA of Vicugna pacos (alpaca), 3325 nucleotides long. The record is from RefSeq and is a predicted model, not a curated record. Lineage: Eukaryota; Metazoa; Chordata; Mammalia; Artiodactyla; Camelidae.
UUGCGGGAGUGGAGCAGAGGCCCGCUGCAGAGCGACAGCUCCGCCUGGCGACUGAGGACGUGGGUCAGAAGGGACUCGAGGCGGGCCUGACGGAGCUCAGCCUGUCCCUCUGCUGCUUGGGUCCACUUCUUUAACUUGCGAAAAGCCAGCGUGCUGGCUUGCGUCUCCACGUGACCUGGGCCCACCUACUGACGCCGCCGUUUUGGAGCUGUGCCUCCCUGAGCCCCGGCGACUUCCGGGGCGGGCCUCCCGUUGCCCAGGUACAGAGAACAGUGAUUAUCAUACAACUGGAAAGGAAGGCAAAGAAAAUGCUUUUUAUUUUAGAUUGGGCAAUUAAACAAACUGCAGUUUUAGUAUGAAGAAAAGAGGAGGCAGAACAAGCCGGAUCAGAAGAAGAAAACUCUUGAGAAACCCUGAAUCUAGCAGAGUGAAUGAGAGCUACAAGCCUGAAUUUAUAGAGCUUAAGAAGUGGCUGAAAGAUAGGAAGUUUGAAGAUGCAAAUUUAAUACCUGCUCGUUUUCCAGGUACAGGAAGAGGCCUGAUGAGCAAAACAUCCCUACAGGCGGGACAGAUGAUUAUCUCGUUGCCUGAGAGUUGCCUGCUGACCACAGACACCGUGAUUAGAAGCUACUUAGGGGCGUACAUCGCUAAGUGGCAGCCUCCUCCGUCUCCCCUGCUGGCUCUGUGCACCUUUCUAGUUUCAGAAAAGCAUGCUGGGAAUCAGUCACCCUGGAAGCCUUACCUGGAGGUGUUACCGAAGGCCUACACCUGCCCUGUUUGUUUGGAGCUGGAAGUGGUGAAUCUUCUUCCCAGACCUCUGAAAGCAAAGGCCAGAGAGCAGAGAACCCGCGUGCGGGAGUUCUUUACCUCCUCCAGAGGCUUUUUCUCUUCCCUGCAGCCUCUGUUUUCCCAGGCUGUCGAGAGCAUCUUUAGCCACAGCGCCCUCCUGUGGGCUUGGUGCACCGUCAACACCAGGGCUGUGUACAUGAAGCGCCCGCCGAGGCCCUGCCUUUCUGCAGAGCCAGACACCUAUGCACUCGCCCCCUACCUGGAUCUGCUGAACCACAGCCCCCACGUCCAGGUAAAAGCAGCGUUUAAUGAGGAAACUCGCUGUUAUGAAAUUAGAACGGCUACAAGCUGUAGAAAACAUGAAGAGGUCUUCAUCUGCUAUGGGCCUCACGAUAACCACCGUCUGCUCCUGGAGUAUGGAUUUGUUCCUGUCCGUAACCCUCAUGCUUGUGUUUAUGUCUCAGAAGAUACCCUUGUUAAAUAUCUUCCAUCGACAGAUAAGCAGAUGAACAAAAAGAUUUCCAUUUUAAAGGAUCAUGACUUUAUAGAAAAUUUGACGUUUGGCUGGGAUGGACCGUCUUGGCGGUUACUCACAGCUCUUAAGCUGUUAUGUCUGGAAGCUGAAGAAUUGGACUCAGGGAGAAAAACUACUGCCUGGUCUCAACACGAAAAAUAGUUGUGUCUCUUCUCAGCAGGCGGUGUGUUUUUGUGUAACAGACACUAUGGUUUCUGUAUCUGAUACAUUUCAGAUCAGAUUAUUGCUCGCUAGAAAACUCAGAGGCAGAUCUGUGGUCCAUCCAAGUGUGCAGCAUUUUAAGGCAUGCAGUUUGUCACUGACUCAUUGCUGGCUGUACCUCAUCUUUCCUGCUCUCAUCUUCCCUUUACCUUCUUUUCUCUCUCCGUUCAUCUUACGUUUUAUUUUAUCUCAUGUGUAGCUAUGUCAGCUUCUUUAAAUCCUUCUGGGGAAAAGGUAUGAAUCCUUUUCAGACAAACCUCAAAUUAAAACUGCUGGAUGUUUGCCAGAGGUCCCCCCGAGGCCUCUUUUCUUCCCAUUGAGUUGUUCCUGACUGUCUGGAGUGGUGUGGCAGGGAAAGCAUGUGUUUGGGAUUCUGCCUGGUGGGUGUGUGACUCUGUUUCUGCCUCUCAUUAGCUUUGUCACUUAGGGUGAGUUCUUCACUGUUGUGGAUUCUCAGUUUCUUUGUGUCUACCAUGGGUAUAACAGUGCUUUCUUUGUUAGGCAGUUGUGAAGAUUAAAACAGACAGUGGUUGCACGUAGAACACUGUGCCCGGCACAGACUAAUGUCUUUCCUUACUUCUUUUCCUGAAAACCUCUCUGUUCUGGGGUUGCCACCAUCAUCUCUAAGACUAAAGACUUCUAAGACUUGACUUCCUAUGUGGCUUGUCUGAUGUUCUGAAUUUCUUUUCUUUCUUUCUUUCUUUUUUUUUUUUAAAGCCUAUAGCACCUGGUGUUCCUAGGUGGUCUCCCAUCUGAGUACUCACCAGGCCAUACCCUGCUUUGCUUCUGAGAUCAGAUGAGACUGGGUAAAUUCAGGGCAGUUUGGCCGUAGACUGUUCUGAAUUUCCCUGUGACCUCUACUCGGAUGGUGCGGCCGACCCCUGGCCUUUCCCUCCUCAACCACUUCUGUGUCCAGAUUCUCUGCAUCCAGACUCUGUGCCUCCUCCCUGCCCGCCUCCCUGGUUGGUGCUUCUCCCCAGACUGUAGAUUUGGCUCGGCUGCCUUCUGACUCGGCAUUGCGCUGUGGCUCCCUCUUGCCUACCCCAAAAUGCCUGCCCUCUCCUGCCUGCAGAGAAUUGGUCCUCCCAGCCCACUGAACCUCAUUUCCUACAGACUUUUUUAGUAUAAAAUUGGAAUGACCUGUAUGGAGAGAAAGGCUUCACUGUAGAUCCCUCCUUCCAUGUGCAGAGCAUUUUACUUUGUGGAACAUGUCCUGUUCAGUUUGCCAUUUUUUGGGAAGGACUCGCUUGCAGUAAAGGAAUACUGCUGCCUUUGCUCCUUGGUCUUUUUAGUCCUUUAGCUUUGGACUCACCCCCUUGUCUGUCCCCUGUUCUAGUCCCGUGGCCGGGGCACGUGACUCUGCUGACUUACGUGCCAGACACAGGAUUGUGAUGCUGUCACUCAGUCCCUGCCAGAAGCACCAGGCCCUUCUCUUCUUAUCCUCAGGGUUCCCUCUUCUUUCUUAAAUACCUUGUCUGCUUCAACACAGGAACCACAUGUGGUGGGAGCUUUGAGGAAAUGUGCUGAUGGAAUGAAUUAUUAUGUUUCUGAAAAAAUAGGAGAAGAGAAUGUGCAUUGUGUUGAAGUAGAAACGCCUUCUUUAUUUUUUGAGAACCUGCUGAAAUGAUCUUACUGAAUAUUUUGAUUCUAGUACAUGCUGGAAAAAAGUACUUCUUGGGGAAAUAAUUUCAGAUACAAAUGAGAAGACAAGUUUGGACAUAGCCCAGAAAAUAUGCCAUUAUUUCAUAGAGGAGACUAAUGCUGUGCUCCAAAAGGUUUCUCAUAUGAAAGAUGAAGAAU